UACGAACCGUGCGAACGUUGUUCGGAAUCACUGGGCUUAAAGGGCGCGUAGGCGGGUGAUCAAGUCAGGGGUGAAAUCCUUCCGCUCAACGGGAGAACAGCUUCUGAUACUGGUCAUCUUGAGGGGGGUAGGGGCAUGUGGAACUUCCGGUGGAGCGGUGAAAUGCGUAGAUAUCGGAAGGAACGCCGGUGGCGAAAGCGACGUGCUGGACCCUUUCUGACGCUGAGGCGCGAAAGCCAGGGGAGCAAACGGG
RNAcentral lists this ribosomal RNA (253 nucleotides) under uncultured bacterium. RNAcentral describes it as "partial 16S ribosomal RNA". It matches the Rfam family "Bacterial small subunit ribosomal RNA", at positions 524 to 776 of the family's 1533-position model. The record is from RNAcentral.